This is a non-coding RNA of Taxawa tesnikishii (nom. ined.), 93 nucleotides long. Lineage: Eukaryota; Fungi; Ascomycota; Dothideomycetes; Dothideales. The record is from the annotation of a GenBank genome assembly.
GUCGUGAUGUCGGAGUGGUUAACGAGACAGACUUGAAUACCCUUCAGCGAUCUGUUGCCUCAGGGCGCGCAGGUUCGAAUCCUGUUCACGACG